CUAUUAUGGAGAGUUUGAUCCUGGCUCAGGACGAACGCUGGCGGCAUGCCUAAUACAUGCAAGUCGAGCGAAUGACGAAGAAGCUUGCUUCUUCUGAUUUAGCGGCGGACGGGUGAGUAACACGUGGGCAACCUGCCCUGUAGAUUGGGAUAACUCCGGGAAACCGGGGCUAAUACCGAAUAAUCCAUUUCCUCACAUGGGGAGAUGUUAAAAGACGGCAUCUCGCUGUCACUACAGGAUGGGCCCGCGGCGCAUUAGCUAGUUGGUGAGGUAACGGCU
Molecule: ribosomal RNA, 279 nt
Filed under: Paenisporosarcina quisquiliarum
Lineage: Bacteria; Bacillati; Bacillota; Bacilli; Caryophanales; Caryophanaceae
Description: partial 16S rRNA. Bacterial SSU
Rfam family: Bacterial small subunit ribosomal RNA
Source: RNAcentral